UACGUAGGGUGCAAGCGUUGUCCGGAAUUAUUGGGCGUAAAGAGCUCGUAGGCGGUCUGUCGCGUCGGAUGUGAAAAUCCAGGGCUCAACCCUGGACCUGCAUUCGAUACGGGCAGACUAGAGUUCGGUAGGGGAGACUGGAAUUCCUGGUGUAGCGGUGAAAUGCGCAGAUACCAGGAGGAACACCGGUGGCGAAGGCGGCGAUCUGGGUCGAUACUGACGCUGAGGUGCGAAAGCGUGGGGAGCAAACAGG
RNAcentral lists this ribosomal RNA (253 nucleotides) under uncultured bacterium. RNAcentral's name for it is "partial 16S ribosomal RNA". It matches the Rfam family "Bacterial small subunit ribosomal RNA", at positions 524 to 776 of the family's 1533-position model. The record is from RNAcentral.